AUCAAAAAGAAUGCAAUACCGCGAGGUGGAGCAAAUCUCUAAAAAUAGUCUCUCAGUUCGGAUUGUAGUCUGCAACUCGACUACNUAAAGCUGGAAUCGCUAGUAAUCGUGAAUCAGCAAUGUCACGGUGAAUACGUUCCCGGGUCUUGUACUCACCGCCCGUCACACCAUGGGAGUUGUAUUCGCCUUAAGUCGGGAUACUAAAUUGGUUACCGCCCACGGCGGAUGCAGCGACUGGGGUGAAGUCGUAACAAGGUAAC
Molecule: ribosomal RNA, 260 nt
Filed under: uncultured bacterium
Lineage: Bacteria
Description: partial 16S ribosomal RNA
Rfam family: Bacterial small subunit ribosomal RNA
Source: RNAcentral